AUAUUAUGCCUAAUAUGGCCAUA
This 23-nucleotide non-coding RNA is filed under the name Arabidopsis thaliana (thale cress). The record is from RNAcentral. Lineage: Eukaryota; Viridiplantae; Streptophyta; Magnoliopsida; Brassicales; Brassicaceae.